CCUGAGGUGGACACUCGGCCUAAACCCCCUGUGAACAUACCUGUUUGAUUGCUUACCGUGCCCUCGCUCGCGUGGCGAGUGAACCUGCCAGUACGGACGGCCACAAACUCUUUGAUUGUCAUCUAGGAGUUUACUUCUGAGUGAUAAUAAGUC
Molecule: unclassified non-coding RNA, 153 nt
Filed under: soil metagenome
Description: partial internal transcribed spacer 1
Source: RNAcentral